UGCAAGUCGUGCGGACCUUUUAAAAGCUUGCUUUUAACAAGGCUAGCGGCGGACGGGUGAGUAACACGUGGGCAACCUGCCUGUAAGACCGGGAUAACGCCGGGAAACCGGGGCUAAUACCGGAUAGUUUUUUUCUCCGCAUGGAGGAAAAAGGAAAGGCGGCUUCGGCUGCCACUUACAGAUGGGCCCGCGGCGCAUUAGCUAGUUGGCGGGGUAAUGGCCCACCAAGGCAACGAUGCGUAGCCGACCUGAGAGGGUGAUCGGCCACAUUGGGACUGAGACACGGCCCAAACUCCUACGGGAGGCAGCAGUAGGGAAUCUUCCGCAAUGGACGAAAGUCUGACGGAGCAACGCCGCGUGAGUGAAGAAGGCCUUCGGGUCGUAAAACUCUGUUGUUAGAGAAGAACAUGUCUGAGAGUAACUGUUCAGGCAAUGACGGUAUCUAACCAGAAAGCCACGGCUAACUAC
This 468-nucleotide ribosomal RNA is filed under the name uncultured bacterium. Its description in RNAcentral is "bacterial SSU rRNA". It matches the Rfam family "Bacterial small subunit ribosomal RNA", at positions 56 to 504 of the family's 1533-position model. The record is from RNAcentral.